Molecule: ribosomal RNA, 354 nt
Filed under: uncultured bacterium
Lineage: Bacteria
Description: bacterial SSU rRNA
Rfam family: Bacterial small subunit ribosomal RNA
Source: RNAcentral
GGCGAACGUUUGCGGCGGGCCUUACACAUGCAAGUCGAACGAGAACCCUUCGGGGGGACAGUGGCGCACGGGUGCGUAACACGUGGGUACCAACCCCCCAGUUCGGGACAACAGUGGGAAACCGCUGCUAAUACCGGAUACGUCAGCAAUGGGAAAGACCCGCAAGGGUUGCUGGGGACGGGCUCGCGGCCAUCAGCUUGUGGUGAGGUAAUGGCUCACCAAGGCGAAGACGGGUAGCUGGUCUGAGAGGAUGAUCAGCCACACUGGAACUGAGACACGGUCCAGACUCCUACGGGAGGCAGCAGUGGGGAAUAUUGCGCAAUGGGCGAAAGCCUGACGCAGCCACGCCGCGUG